This 69-nucleotide transfer RNA is filed under the name Marmota monax (woodchuck). It matches the Rfam family "tRNA". Rfam says of the family: Transfer RNA (tRNA) molecules are approximately 80 nucleotides in length. Their secondary structure includes four short double-helical elements and three loops (D, anti-codon, and T loops). RNAcentral also lists the same sequence under 1 other name. The record is from Rfam by way of RNAcentral. Lineage: Eukaryota; Metazoa; Chordata; Mammalia; Rodentia; Sciuridae.
GGGGCUGUAGCUCAGUGGUAGAGCGUUCAUCUAGCAUGUGUGAGGCACGGGGUUCGAGUCUCAGCACCA